UACGUAGGUGGCAAGCGUUACUCGGAAUCACUAGGCGUAAAGCGCAGGUAGGAGGUUUGGUAAGUCUGUUGUGGAAGCUCCCGGCUCAACUGGGAGAGGUCAACGGAAACUACUAGGCUAGAGUGCGGUAGAGGAAGGUGGAAUUCCCGGUGUAGCGGUGAAAUGCGUAGAUAUCGGGAGGAAUACCUAUGGCGAAAGCAGCCUUCUGGACCGUCACUGACUCUGAUCUGCGAAAGCUAGGGGAGCAAACAGG
This 253-nucleotide ribosomal RNA is filed under the name uncultured bacterium. Its description in RNAcentral is "partial 16S ribosomal RNA". It matches the Rfam family "Bacterial small subunit ribosomal RNA", at positions 524 to 776 of the family's 1533-position model. The record is from RNAcentral.